GUCAAGAAAUUAGCUAAGUGAUUGUUUCCAUAUUCGGGGAAACCUAGGUUGAGAAGAAUAAACAUAGUAGGUAACCCUGAGCCAAAUUUUGUUCCCCUUACAAAAUAGGUGCAGAGACUCAAAGGGAACUAUCCAAAUAAAAUGAAUUAUUUAUUAAUUAUUAGUUCGUUUUGUAAUGANAUAGGGAUAAAGAUAGAGUCCAUUUUUACACGUAAAUUAGCAAGGAUGUAAAUCAUUGUAAGAAGAAAAUCCGUUGGCUUUUUAGACCAUGAGGGUUCAAGUCCCUCUACCCCCA
Molecule: transfer RNA, 295 nt
Filed under: Schistochilopsis opacifolia
Lineage: Eukaryota; Viridiplantae; Streptophyta; Jungermanniopsida; Jungermanniales; Scapaniaceae
Description: partial tRNA-Leu
Rfam family: Group I catalytic intron (bases 1-222)
About the family: Group I catalytic introns are large self-splicing ribozymes. They catalyse their own excision from mRNA, tRNA and rRNA precursors in a wide range of organisms. The core secondary structure consists of 9 paired regions (P1-P9).
Source: RNAcentral